CAGCCGCCGCGGUAAUACGUAGGUGGCAAGCGUUGUCCGGAAUUAUUGGGCGUAAAGGGCUCGCAGGCGGUUUCUUAAGUCUGAUGUGAAAGCCCCCGGCUCAACCGGGGAGGGUCAUUGGAAACUGGGAAACUUGAGUGCAGAAGAGGAGAGUGGAAUUCCACGUGUAGCGGUGAAAUGCGUAGAGAUGUGGAGGGACACCAGUGGCGAAGGCGACUCUCUGGUCUGUAACUGACGCUGAGGAGCGAAAGCGUGGGGAGCGAACAGGAUUAGAUACCCCUGUAGUCCCUGUCUCUUAUAC
This 301-nucleotide ribosomal RNA is filed under the name uncultured bacterium. Its description in RNAcentral is "partial 16S ribosomal RNA". It matches the Rfam family "Bacterial small subunit ribosomal RNA", at positions 509 to 807 of the family's 1533-position model. The record is from RNAcentral.